AUGGAUGAUGGUGUCGCUGGCCAAGUUUUGACCGUUGAAGUUGAUCAUACUAUCUUUUUAACUGGUAUAGUUCGUUUAACUGCUGAUGACAAUAAGAAUACUGUGCUGCAGUUUGCAGACUCAGCUUCCUCUGCUUUGCUCAGCUGUGUAAGACUGCCACCAACAAGGCUGCCCUGCAUGUCUGUAGAAUUGCAUCACUUGAGCAACGUCUCCAUGUAUGUCCCGUCGACGAGCCAUCGUGAUUUGCUUCUUGUCUUGCUUCGAGCAGUUCCUCAGGGGACUUGGUUAGUGGUCACGUGGAGGGAUCAAUUGGGUGGCCUGCAUGUUUGCACACCAAACUUAAAACCUGAGAAGAGCAUUAUACCAACAGAUGGAGGGAAAACGGACGCAGGAGACGGAGUUUCUCUCUUCCUCAACUUUCCCAAACAUUUCGUUGAACACCUUCUGAGCGGCGCGAGGGGCGACGAUGCCACCGAGGAAGUGUACGGCGGAGCAACGACUGCUCAACGCUGGCAUCAGCUGCAAAAACCAACUUGGAGAGGAAGUAGACAGAGGGAGGUAAGCUGGUCCGCUGGCGGUUGGGACUCCCUCCCCGUCGGGGCCGCUGCCCGCGCGUGCACGGGCCGCGCCUCGGCUCUUUCGACCGCCGGCUUACUGCUGCGAAUGCUGCCGCGAGCUGCCGAGCCGGGCCCUAGCCGAGCUCCCUCGCGCCUGCGCAGCAGCCCGCUCUGGCGAGGCCGAGCCCCCGCGGCGCCCCUGCUUCUCCAUCGCCACCGUCCCUCCAGGUUCUUUCCGCGCCACCGCUCCCCCAUGCCCCUGGUGCGCACGGGCGGUGCUGCUAUGCGUCCCAGUCCGCUGCUCGAUGUGGGUGCGCCUUGGGAAACCGGUGCGUGCAGCCCUCGUGCCGUGAACAGCCUACGUGGGCGAGGAAGCUCCGGCUGUGCCCGACGUACGAUGCAUGCGUCCAUGCGGUGCGCACCACACACGCUGUCCACCGGAGUCAGAACAUCGACAUGGUGGAGGUUCAGUCUUCAGUCCAGGCGGUGCUCCUUGACGACGACCACCACGGCGAGCUCCAUGCCCAUGCGGACAAGAGCUCAGCGGACGGACUUGAGAGCUCCUCCGCGGGGCCCCUGCCUGGCCGUUGCAGCCCGAGAGCCCCCGCUGGCCAGGGGUCGCCGCCUCGAGAGGAUCGUGGAAUUCAUGUAUGCCAAUGUUCGUGGAAUUCUCUCUAAACCGAUUCAGUUCUACGACAAGUUGAAGGAACUAUUUAGUGGCUCCUCGACAGGUGGUUCUUUUAUGCAAGACCCUUUCUCUGCAGCUAAAACUGACAAUGAUGAUAAGGUAAAAGAUGACAUGAUGAAUGAUAUGUCCACCUUUGAUGAAGCGAAGGGUCCAACAGGUCAUGACUCGGAUAAAUUAGAUACGGAUAGUGAUGAUUGUGAAGCGGUGGCUGCUCUUGCUGCAACUGAUAGUCAAGUUUCCUCGUCCAAUGUUGCGGCUCUAAAGCCUAACAAGAAAAGUUUUAAAAAAAGUGCAAAGCCAAAUACUCUGCCACCACCACAAAAUGAUAAAGCUAAAAAGUCAAAGCCAAGAUCAUCUCAAGCAUCACAAGAUGACACUGAUAUGGAUGUGCUGCUCACAAGUACUUUGAUAGACAUACAAGAAACCCUUGCAAGUCCAGUACAGGCUGUAGCCCCAAAGGACCCAAAUGCUCCUUUAUGGGACAUGCUCGAGAAGAUUUCAUUGCCACUUGAUGAGAGGAUGUCGGUCGGGAUGCAUCUAUGCAAGCCAGAAUUUGCAAUCCAUCGAGAUUUUCUUGUCAGCAUGGGUCAAGAAUACAUGGAGCGUUGGGUGGAUACAUACUUAUCUGACAAUUAUCCUGCUGGCAAACGUGUCGGUGAUUAUCUUGUUGGUAACCGAAACAAUGAUCAUACUAGUAACCUUGGCGAUGAUCCUGUUGUUAACUCUAGCCCUUUCUGA
This 1983-nucleotide ribosomal RNA is filed under the name Triticum aestivum (bread wheat). RNAcentral's name for it is "partial small subunit ribosomal RNA". Lineage: Eukaryota; Viridiplantae; Streptophyta; Magnoliopsida; Poales; Poaceae. The record is from RNAcentral.